This 437-nucleotide ribosomal RNA is filed under the name uncultured soil bacterium. RNAcentral describes it as "bacterial SSU rRNA". It matches the Rfam family "Bacterial small subunit ribosomal RNA", at positions 26 to 454 of the family's 1533-position model. The record is from RNAcentral.
AGAAUCAACGCUGGCGGCGUGCCUAACACAUGCAAGUCGAACGAGAUAGUGACUUCGGUCACUGGAAAGUGGCGUCCGGGUGAGUAACACGUGGGUAAUCUACCCUCGGGUGGGAAUAACGGAUCGAAAGAUUCGCUAAUACCGCAUAAUGCAGCGGCACCUAAUGGUGAAUAGUUGUUAAAGCGGGGGUAUCGCAAGACCUCGCGCCUGAAGAGGAGCCUGCGGCAGGAUUAGCUAGUUGGUGAGGUAAUGGCUCACCAAGGCUUCGAUCUGUAGCUGGUCUGAGAGGACGGCAGCCACACUGGCACUGACACACGGGCCAGACUCCGAGGGAGCAGCAGGUGGGAAUUUUGGCAAGUGGACGAAAGCCUGACCAGCAACGCCGCGUGAGGAGAACUCCGUCGGAUGUAAACCUCGACGAAGACGAAGGAGACGAG